Molecule: RNase P RNA, 325 nt
Filed under: chicken gut metagenome
Description: Bacterial RNase P class A
Rfam family: Bacterial RNase P class A
About the family: Ribonuclease P (RNase P) is a ubiquitous endoribonuclease, found in archaea, bacteria and eukarya as well as chloroplasts and mitochondria. Its best characterised activity is the generation of mature 5'-ends of tRNAs by cleaving the 5'-leader elements of precursor-tRNAs.
Source: RNAcentral
GUAAGUCAGAUGGUCGCAUACUUUUAGUAUGAGGAAAGUCCGAGCUCCAUAGAGCAAGGGUGCUGGAUAACGUCCAGUGGAGGCGACUCUAAGGAAAGUGCAACAGAAAUAAACCGCCUAUUUUUAGGUAAGGAUGGAAAGGUAAGGUAAGAGCUUACCGCCCUUUUGGCGACAAAAGGGGCUCUGUAAACCCCACCUGGUGCAAGAACAUUGAAACAUAUAGGUUGCUCGCCUGUUUCAUAAAAAGUUCGCAAGAGGUUACUGGUAACAGUAGCACUAGAUAGAUGACCAUCAAAUACAGAACUCGGCUUAUAGACUUGCUUAU